CUGGGAAAUUCCAACCCUUGGGGAAGGGAUUUCUCCCGGUCCAUCAACCUCAGUGACCUUCAGGUAAUGUCAAGCUAACUGCAAUUACUUCAUUCUGCAUUUCUACCCCUGAAGGUGGCUACUUAAAGCAUGUUGUGAUGACAAUGGGUGAGAUACUAUCACACCCAGAGUCAGAGUUAUCUUAGGCACGGCACAGCGGCACAGCGUUAAUAGAAAGGACGUUAGGUUCUUGGGAGAAGUCACACCGGCAAAAUGGAAGAAGACUGAACUUUGAAUAACUAUCUGGACAGUGACCAGACCAGGAACAUCUAUCUGAAUUCUC
This is a long non-coding RNA of Tupaia belangeri chinensis (Chinese tree shrew), 322 nucleotides long. RefSeq lists it as uncharacterized. The transcript has 3 exons. Lineage: Eukaryota; Metazoa; Chordata; Mammalia; Scandentia; Tupaiidae. The record is from RefSeq and is a predicted model, not a curated record.